Long non-coding RNA from Limulus polyphemus (Atlantic horseshoe crab), 270 nucleotides. RefSeq lists it as uncharacterized. The transcript is spliced from 2 exons. The record is from RefSeq and is a predicted model, not a curated record. Lineage: Eukaryota; Metazoa; Arthropoda; Merostomata; Xiphosura; Limulidae.
UUCAUGUUCGAUAUCAAGGCGCAAUUAACAGAACUGAAGUUUAACAACAUAUACCUUUGACCACCAGAGUGACACCAGAAACUUGAGAAGAUAUAUACACUUUCUUCCUGUCCAGUAAUUGGAAAUUAAUGAAGAUGAAGAAAACCACGUUGUUAACUUUUUGUGCAAUUUUCUUUGUGCUGAUGAUCUCGUCCACAGCGACACCUGUGGGGCGAAAAUCGAAUUUCGAAACCAUUGUCCGGAGGAUUAUGUCUAACAUAAAAAAUGAGA